UGUAUGAAGCUGGAAUCGCUAGUAAUCGCAGAUCAGAAUGCUGCGGUGAAUACGUUCCCGGGUCUUGUACACACCGCCCGUCACACCAUGGGAGCCAGGAAUGCCCGAAGCCAGUGGCCUAACCGCAAGGGAGGAGCUGUCGAAGGCAGGCCCGGUAACUGGGGUGAAGUCGUAACAAGGUAUC
Molecule: ribosomal RNA, 184 nt
Filed under: uncultured bacterium
Lineage: Bacteria
Description: partial 16S ribosomal RNA
Rfam family: Bacterial small subunit ribosomal RNA
Source: RNAcentral